This 497-nucleotide ribosomal RNA is filed under the name uncultured bacterium. RNAcentral describes it as "partial 16S ribosomal RNA". It matches the Rfam family "Bacterial small subunit ribosomal RNA", at positions 28 to 507 of the family's 1533-position model. The record is from RNAcentral.
GAUGAACGCUGGCGGCGUGCCUAAUACAUGCAAGUCGAGCGAACGGACGAGAAGCUUGCUUCUCUGAUGUUAGCGGCGGACGGGUGAGUAACACGUGGAUAACCUACCUAUAAGACUGGGAUAACUUCGGGAAACCGGAGCUAAUACCGGAUGAUAUUUUGAACCGCAUGGUUCAAAAGUGAAAGACGGUCUUGCUGUCACUUAUAGAUGGAUCCGCGCUGCAUUAGCUAGUUGGUAAGGUAACGGCUUACCAAGGCAACGAUGCAUAGCCGACCUGAGAGGGUGAUCGGCCACACUGGAACUGAGACAUGGUCCAGACUCCUACGGGAGGCAGCAGUAGGGAAUCUUCCGCAAUGGGCGAAAGCCUGACGGAGCAACGCCGCGUGAGUGAUGAAGGUCUUCGGAUCGUAAAACUCUGUUAUUAGGGAAGAACAUAUGUGUAAGUAACUGUGCACAUCUUGACGGUACCUAAUCAGAAAGCCACGGCUAACUACGUG